RNAcentral lists this ribosomal RNA (416 nucleotides) under uncultured bacterium. Its description in RNAcentral is "bacterial SSU rRNA". It matches the Rfam family "Bacterial small subunit ribosomal RNA", at positions 358 to 771 of the family's 1533-position model. The record is from RNAcentral.
GGAAUAUUGGGCAAUGGACGCAAGUCUGACCCAGCCAUGCCGCGUGGAGGAUGAAGGUCCUCUGGAUUGUAAACUUCUUUUAUCUGGGAAGAAAUCCAUAUUUUCUAAUGUGGUUGACGGUACCAGAUGCAUAAGCACCGGCUAACUCCGUGCCAGCAGCCGCGGUAAUACGGAGGGUGCAAGCGUUAUCCGGAUUCACUGGGUUUAAAGGGUGCGUAGGUGGGCAGGUAAGUCAGUGGUGAAAUCUCCGGGCUUAACUCGGAAACUGCCGUUGAUACUAUCUGUCUUGAAUAUCGUGGAGGUUAGCGGAAUAUGUCAUGUAGCGGUGAAAUGCUUAGAUAUGACAUAGAACACCCAUUGCGAAGGCAGCUAACUACACGAUCAUUGACACUGAGGCACGAAAGCGUGGGGAGCAA